GGAAACGGGUUAAUAUUCCCGUACCGGAUGUGGUUGCGAUGGGGGGACGAAGAAGGCUAGGUGAGCCAGGCGUUGGUUGUCCUGGUGAAAGCAUGUAGGCCGAGGAAUCAGGCAAAUCCGGUUCCUCUGAGGUCGAGAUGCGAGACGAACUGACCACGGUCAGGAAGUCAUCGAUGCCACGCUUCCAGGAAAAGCCUCUAAGCUUCAGACCACAUGCGACCGUACCCCAAACCGACACAGGUGGUCAGGUAGAGAAUACCAAGGCGCUUGAGAGAACUCGGGUGAAGGAACUAGGCAAAAUGGCACCGUAACUUCGGGAGAAGGUGCACCGGUUCGA
This 337-nucleotide ribosomal RNA is filed under the name Cobetia sp. BMC6. Its description in RNAcentral is "partial 23S ribosomal RNA". It matches the Rfam family "Bacterial large subunit ribosomal RNA", at positions 1421 to 1759 of the family's 2925-position model. The record is from RNAcentral. Lineage: Bacteria; Pseudomonadati; Pseudomonadota; Gammaproteobacteria; Oceanospirillales; Halomonadaceae.